AGUGAACGCUGGCGGUAGGCCUAACACAUGCAAGUCGAACGGCAGCACAGUAAGAGCUUGCUCUUACGGGUGGCGAGUGGCGGACGGGUGAGGAAUACAUCGGAAUCUACUUUUUCGGGGGGGAUAACGUAGGGAAACUUACGCCAAUACCGCAUACGACCUACGGGUGAAAGCAGGGGAUAUUCGGACCUUGCGCGAUUGAAUGAGCCGAUGUUGGAUUUGCUAGUUGGCGGGGUAAAGGCCCACCAAGGCGCCGAUCCGUAGCUGGUCUGAGAGGAUGAUCAGCCACACUGGAACUGAGACACGGUCCAGACUCCUACGGGAGGCAGCAGUGGGGAAUAUUGGACAAUGGGCGCGAGCCUGAUCCAGCCAUACCGCGUGGGUGAAGAAGGCCUUCGGGUUGGGAAGCCCGUUUGUUGGGAAAGAAAAGCAGCAGGUUAAUACCCCGCUGUUCUGACGGUACCCAAAGAAUAAGCACCGGCUAACUUCGUG
RNAcentral lists this ribosomal RNA (492 nucleotides) under uncultured bacterium. RNAcentral describes it as "partial 16S ribosomal RNA". It matches the Rfam family "Bacterial small subunit ribosomal RNA", at positions 29 to 507 of the family's 1533-position model. The record is from RNAcentral.